RNAcentral lists this long non-coding RNA (6466 nucleotides) under Homo sapiens (human). RNAcentral describes it as "non-protein coding lnc-PRKN-21:9". Lineage: Eukaryota; Metazoa; Chordata; Mammalia; Primates; Hominidae. The record is from RNAcentral.
GAGAACAGUCUGGAAGACAAUGACAGAGUGCUUGCCUGGGGAGUCGGAGGAGCUCCGGUUAUGUCCAAGCCGAACCCCUGGAGCCUCUGGACUGCCUGGCACUGAGGGAGCGGGAACUGGACGGUGGGCAUGUGGCCGGGAGGAGCCUUCCAACCAGAAGAAACUAAGUUUUCAAGUUUCCUGCUGUGUCAUCUCAACUGGAAAGUGUCGUCCCCCAGGAAGUCUCCUGCCCUCCCUCUCUGCACAGGGAGCCGCUUCCCACUCUGUCCUUCGAUGGACACGCUGAUGCAGCUGGGAAUGAGCUUGGAAACGCUAACUGACCAGAGUGAUUUCUGGGCCCUGAGUGCAUUACAGAUGGAGAAAGCUUCUGAAUUCUCUAUGGAACUCCAGGCCUGACCUUGGGAUGGGAGACGGGCGGCUGGGCGCACAAGGAAAGAGGCCUCGCCUUGCGCCACGGAGGAGGUGCUACCCCGAGCACUGUCUGGGGAGGAUUUCAAGGCUGUGCCCAGGCCACCCCUGAUGGAUGCAUCAGUCACUUCAGCCAUGGUGCCGGCAGGGAGCCCAAGCGCGGGAGCAUCCUCUGUCGUCCUCGCAGCCGGGACCCUCUCAUUUCCUGUCUGCACAGCAGCCCCGGCGUGUUCCUCUGUGAAAGCCAGGAGCACGGGGGUGACGCCUUCUGGGCCUGCCACUGUUCCUUCAGAAGCGACCUUUGACCUCCCCAUCAGCCUGUGCUGCUAGGUCUGGGGUCAUUUUCUGCUCAGAUAUCUCCUCUCCCUGACGAUCGAUUCCCCCUGGAGGGGUGAGCCACUGUCGGGAGGGGAGACGGAGCUGAGCAUGCAAGGAAGGGCAACCCCAGCCCAGAUCCUGGAGGGCUUUGGGCUUCCAGGUAGAAGCCGGUCUUCGCGUCAGCAAACCAAGAAAAUGCCUCCCUGAAAUGGUCUCCAGGUCCCCCCAAACACCUGCCUCCCCCUCCAGCCUUCUCCACUGAUGCCUGCAGCUGCAUAAGUAGUGUUUCAUUGCACCCCAGCAGGAGCUGGUACCGGUUCUUCCCUUGCCUCAUGCUGGGGUAGAUUUUAUUUAGGAUUGGGAGCAGGGAAAGGAGCUAGAGAAAGGAAGGGUUCCAGGAAGCUGGGAAGGGAGAUGUCAGGUGGGGUGAUGGGAAAGGAGGCCAAGGACCACCUUUGCCUGUAUGGUGGGCUGAACUGUGUCCCCACAAAAGAUAGGGCGUCCUAACCCCAGAUACCUGUGAAUGUGACCUUAUUUGGGAAUAGAGUUUUUGCAAAUGGAAUCAAGUCAUGAUGACGUCAUUAGCAUGAGCCUUAAUUUAAUAGGAUUGAUGUCCUUCUAAGAAGAGAAGACAGGGACACACAGGAGAAAGCCAUGUGAUGAAGCAGGCAGGAGCUGGAGCGACACUACCACAGGCCAAGGAACAUUGGGACCAGAAGAGGCGAGGAGGGGCCGUUCCCUAGAGGCUUUGGAGAGAGCAUGGCUCAUCAACACCUUGACUUCAGACUGGUAGCCCCCAAACGGUGACAGAAUAAUUGUCUAUUGUUUUAAGCCCCCUGGCUUAUAGUACGUUGUAAAGGCAGCCCUAGGAAGCCCUAAGCCAGUUUCACUCAUUAUGAUAAAUAUCAUAGAUGAUGACUGUCAUAUAUUGGAUGUGCUGGAGAUCUUCACAGCCACAGAAUAAACUGCAGGCCAAAAAAAGAACAUUCAUAUGAGGUCCCCAGCAGGGGCUGGCUGUGCAAGUCAGAGACUGCAGAACCAGGUAGGCAGACAAAGCGAAAUUGCCUGGAGCUGGACACAUAUGUGCACCACUGGGAAAUAAAUAGACUUGCGGUGGAAAUGACCAACGUGGAUGGCCAGGGAAAUGCCAGCAGCAAUAAAAGAAAAGAGUGCACAAGGCCUGUAAAUCAGCAGAUGCGAGAGCUCCCGAAAAGUAGCGAAGUCUGAAAUAAAAGGCAGGCUCAGGCUGGUGGUCCAAGAAGUUAAAGCAGGAAAUGAGAGCGUGGGCACUGUGUGUGCUGGGCUCCCAAAGACUGCAGGGAGUGGCCAGAUGUCUCCAGAGGCAGCGUCAUGUGGAGCAAAGGGGACCUGAGGAGUGUCAGCAUCCUCAGUCACCUCCUCCUUUGAACCAGCUGUUCGGAAUCUGGUCUCUUACUUAGGAUAAUUGUAGGAACUGACUUUUUUUUUUUUUCUUUUCUCACCUAUUGGCUGACUGAAAGAACCGACUUUUAAAUGAGCACCUCCCUCAUUAGAAUUGCUCAAAUGACAACAGCUGCAGCGGUGGGAGCAGCAGCAAGUUUGAAAAUCCAACAGUCUGCAUUCCACAGUGACAGUAUUCUUGGUCACCUCGGAGACAUGGCAGCCGGGAGCCACGGCUCUCAUUGCUCGGGGUUGGUUGGGUUACCAGCCCUAGGGCUACAGAAUGUAUCUAAAAGAGAGGCUUGGCUGGCAGUUUAAGAGGGGUGCAGGACAGCAGGAUGGGGUUCAUGAGGCAAGAGUGGAUGGAGCCUGUGGCCCAGUUGGGAUGAGAUGGGACAGUUCCAAUGGGCAGGACAAACCCCAGCCACCGUCUCAGGGUAUUUGACAGGAGGUAAACAGCAGACAAAAUCCUGGAGCACAGGGGGGCAGGGCUGUCUCGUUCCCAUGAAUGGCAACAUUGGAGGACUGACCCCCAAGAGCGUGGUUUUGUCGUCAGCCUCAAAGGCAUGGCUUUCUCUCUGGCGUUGGCAGCAGCCGCUCAGCACCAUAGCUAGGGAGCAGCGGCCUAGAUCCCUCACAUUUAUUUCACUUUGACUCUUUUGACCAAAGCACCACUGUUUAAGGCCUCAUUUUUCUUCUCCCAUGUGGAAAAUCAUAUUGCUUAAAUUUAAAAAUGAAGAUAGAUAGAUGGAUGAAAAAAUCCCCAUAGAGCAAAAUUCUGCCUGUGACAAAAAGGUCUCCACGUCUGAGGUGACAGUCAACUUCAAGUGACGCCAAGAACAUCAAAAUCUCUCUAUAAAAAAAGAAUAGGAAGCAAUGGGGCUCGUGAAAAUGCCACAUCAAGAAAAGUCAACAAAUACAUACUUAGUGGUAACUAUGGUUGCAGAGAAAGAGAAAACUUAAAACAAUAUGAACAUAUGUGGUCAUAUAGACUGAAAACCCACCGUGUCAUAAAACCCCAGGACACAGAACGCAUCAGCGUAGACAGCAGCUGUACAGACAAUGCUGGGGCGGUUGUGGAGUGGGAUUAGAAGACAGGAGGCGCCAUCGAGUCAGCUCCAAGGCCAUUAGCCUUGUGACGCCAGCAAAAUGUGUGAGUGGGGAGCCUCUACGUUCUCUCCUGUGAAAUGGGGAUGACAGUACUUCCUUGUAGGGUUGUGGUAACGAAGUUAUUCAGCACAGAGCUUGGCAUGUGGUCAUAACAAGGAGUGGCGGAUAAUGAUAAUAUGGUAACAGUAGGCAUCAUUGUGAGAAGGGACAGAGACUCAAUGUGAAAAGUAUAGAAAGGGCUCUUACAAAUCUCCAAGCACAUAAAAGUCCCUAAAAGACAAAUGGCGAAGGGUUCACAGUUCACAGAAAUGGAAAAAAAGAAAUGAAUGAAUUCAAUGAAUAUUAGGGGAAGAAAACCGUUACUAAUUAGUGACGAAGCACAAAGUAAUGCAAGUAUCCAACACCAUUUUGACAGCACUUGAGAAAUGAUCGAGAAUUCAGAAACGCGGUAAAAACUGACGCUGGUCCCGACAGUUAAGUAGGAAUAUCCAGGAGUUCCUGACGGUAGUGCAAAUGUGUUUGAUUACUUUGGAAGACCAUUUGGUAAUUCUCAUCAAAAGCCAGAAUACGCUACACUUGGAUCUCAUCAUUCUCUUCCUGAGAAUGAAAUAAUUCAAAUUAAGAGAAAGCUAUACUUAUAAUGAGACAUGUAGUUAGAAUUAUGAGAAUAAAAAUAGGUUAGCAUCCCCUAAUACAGAAAUGGUUACUUUGUCAUAAGAAUACUAAUUCUAUAACAUAUUACAUGGUGAUUAAAAUGAGAGUGUAUUUAGAAUAAUGUUAAGUCUUAACAUUAUUUUAUAAUAUAAUUUAUUGAAAUAAUUAAUUACGGAUAUUUUUAAAAUAUGUAGCUAAAGAUGAGAUGAAGCUAUCAGUUAAUGCAAUUUAUCUGAUGUAGGUAGAGGAACUUAGAUACACCUAUGUAUGUUAUUUUAUUAAUAAGUACUUUAAAUGACACAUAACUAAAUUAUCUUAAUUUCUCUGUAUCACCUGUUAUGAAUACACGACUCCCCAUGAUUCAUUUUGUACUGACCUAUACGAGGGUAUACAAAUCUAAAUCAGGCACUGAAUUAAGGCACAAGCUAGCUGUGUCCUCCCUGGAACAUUUCCUGACUCAAUUUAGAAAUAUCAGCUGAGCGUGUAGAGUUGUCUCUUUGAGGAAAGCUUUAUUCUCUCAAGACUACUUGGCUCCCUGAUACUCUCUUUAAUGUUAUUAUAAGAACGCUGAUCUUUUAAUCCGCUAAUUCACUCUCUAUUAUUCUUAUAUCUCAAAACAGCUUCAAAAGUCACUGGAUUUUUCAAUGAGAAGGAGAAGUUAGGCAGCUACCAAAUAGCUGAAAGAAUAUUAAAUCUGAUGGAUCCAGCCAAAUAAAAAUGUUCAUUCAUAGGAUCUGUGGUUGUUGAGGAAUCUUCUAAGUUUCAUAAAUGGCAAAAACUCUUUCUCAGACUUACAGAUCAGACCUCACAUAUGCAUGAGAAGAGAAGCUAUUUUUGUCUCUGGGUUCCAGUUACACAGCCACAGCCUGGAAGCUUUGUUCUCAGAAUUCAUGCUGUCAUCAAAAGGACUCAAUACAAACACUGCAGCCAGCCUGCCAUGGCUUAGCUGUGACCGCAGCUGCAAACUCUUCUGUCAUGUGAAAACUUUUGGCUUUUUCCGGGUGUGGAAUGCCUGUUGGUCCCAGCUCCGCCUGCCUUUCCUCCUUCUGGAAUCGUGUCCAUCCUUUCAGUCAACUCAGUUUGUCCGCAUCUUCCAGGCCUCAUACCUCCGCCUGAUCUGCAUGGCAGUGGUGGGCUUGCUCUUUGUGCUAUUACACUGACUGUGAUCGUGUUUAGUGAGUCAGCUUCUACAAAGUUGACCUGCACCUGUGUGAUGUCUCUCCCUAGCUGGAUGCAGCUUCUCCAUGGGCUAAGUUCAUCAUGUUAACAGUGCCUGCCCCACAGGCCCUCAGGGGAUCUUAGUGGGUGGUCUAUGGAGAGACUUUAGUGGGUAUAUGAAUCCCCAAAAUUGUAGGCAAAGUUUGUGUAUGCUGUGGCCUAUCGACAGCGGGGACUCUGCCGCUGAUUUCUCCUAAGAAGCCUCCUGGGGGUUUGAGCGAAUCGUGGUGGUCUCCUUCCCUCUGGAGUGAUUAGUUUUGGCUUUGGCUCAACAUGGUGCAGACCCAUGGGAUCCAAAGGGAAGUUGGCCGGGCAUUUCUGGGAAGGAUGUCUCUUCUUCUGAUUUCUGAGUGAGGGUAGGAAGCCCUCUUCUUCAUCAGACGCCAUGGCUCUUACACGAAUGAUGCCUAGAGCAGACACAGCCCUUCCAGGACCAGAGGCCAAGGCUGACAAUGGGACAAGAGGGCGGAGGAAGAAGUGGGGAGCACCUAAGCCUUCCUCUGACCAAGCACUGUCCUAACCAAUUCUGAUUGGUUCACUUCUAGUUACAUGAUAUAAUAAACGUCCUAUUUCUUAAGGCACUUUUAACAUGAGUGCAGCAUUUUAGAGUUUCAUCAGGUGAUCCACUGGAUCUGAGUCUCUGCUCAGGCUUAAGGAUGCCCAUAAAAGGUGCCCAAUUAAAUGUUGAUUGGUUGAUUGGCACACAGAGAAUCGCUGGAAGUGCCGCUGAGUCAUCCAGGUGCUAAGAGAGCUUGCCAGGCCUGUCUAGAGGAGGUUGGCCAACUGGAGUGUGUUGUUCUCCCACUCAAGUCCACUGCCCAGUGCUGCCAGGUGUGGGAGAGCAACUCAGAGAGGGCUGGAUGUUAGACCAAGCAAGGUCUUGAGAGUGUCACGCUCAGGGAGAUGCCCAAGAGGGGACCAGCUGGCUGUUUGUGUGGGUGUUUCCUCACUGGGUAAACAGGAGAGAAUCCUCCUUAUCAAGGGCCUGUAGAGUAGAUGGACUUAAGCUUUUGCACCCACUCUGGCUGAGCUGUAGUGUUAAGAAGGAUUCUGAAGCUGUGUCCAUAUUUAACUGGAAACUGUGCCGUGAUUAUUAGUUAAGUGUCCCAUGGAUACAAAUGGAAAGAAUCGAGGCAUUCACGCCAGUGAUUCAUCCCCCCUGUCUAGGGUCUGGUUCUCGGCUUUUUAGAUCAGGAGACUCAGGGAGCCCCUUCAAAGUAGAUACCCACUUCAAAAGUGGGUUCAUCUAUCUCCUGGAAAAUGCCCCACUCCCUUUGAUAGACUGUUCUGCUCAAAAACAUCUUCUGACUGAGCACAGUGGCUCACGCCUUUAAUUCCA